Molecule: ribosomal RNA, 460 nt
Filed under: uncultured bacterium
Lineage: Bacteria
Description: partial 16S ribosomal RNA
Rfam family: Bacterial small subunit ribosomal RNA
Source: RNAcentral
CCUACGGGAGGCAGCAGUGAGGAAUAUUGGUCAAUGGCCGGAAGGCUGAACCAGCCAUGCCGCGUGAAUGUCAGUGCCCUAUGGGCGUUAAACUUCUUUUGUGCGGGAGCAAUAAUGGUCACGUGUGACCAGACGAGAGUACCGUACGAAUAAGCAUCGGCUAACUCCGUGCGAGCAGCCGCGGUAAUACGGGGGAUGCAAGCGUUAUCCGGAUUUAUUGGGGUUAAAGGGUGCGUAGGCUGUGAGGUAAGUCAGCGGUGAAAUGCCCCCGCUCAACGGGGUGAAGUGCCAUUGAUACUGCCUUGCGGGAAUGCGGAUGCGGUGGGAGGAAUGUGCGGUGUAGCGGUGAAAUGCAUAGAUAUCACACAGAACACCGAUUGCGAAGGCAUCUCACGAAUCCGCGAUUGACGCUGAUGCACGAAAGCGUGGGUAUCAAACAGGAUUAGAUACCCCAGUAGUC